This 522-nucleotide ribosomal RNA is filed under the name uncultured Glomus. RNAcentral's name for it is "SSU rRNA". It matches the Rfam family "Eukaryotic small subunit ribosomal RNA", at positions 569 to 1092 of the family's 1831-position model. The record is from RNAcentral. Lineage: Eukaryota; Fungi; Glomeromycota; Glomeromycetes; Glomerales; Glomeraceae.
AGCAGCCGCGGUAAUUCCAGCUCCAAUAGCGUAUAUUAAAGUUGUUGCAGUUAAAAAGCUCGUAGUUGAAUUUCGGGGUUAGUAGGUUGGUCAUGCCACUGGUAUGUACUGGUCUCACUGAUUCCUCCUUCCUGAUGAACCGUAAUGCCAUUAACUUGGUGUUGCGGGGAGACUGGACUGUUACUUUGAAAAAAUUAGAGUGUUUAAAGCAGGCUAACGCUUGAAUACAUUAGCAUGGAAUAAUGAAAUAGGACGUUCGAUCCUAUUUUGUUGGUUUCUAGGAUUGACGUAAUGAUUAAUAGGGAUAGUUGGGGGCAUUAGUAUUCAAUUGUCAGAGGUGAAAUUCUUGGAUUUAUUGAAGACUAACUACUGCGAAAGCAUUUGCCAAGGAUGUUUUCAUUAAUCAAGAACGAAAGUUAGGGGAUCGAAGACGAUCAGAUACCGUCGUAGUCUUAACCAUAAACUAUGCCGACUAGGGAUCGGAUGAUGUUAAUUUUUUAAUGACUCAUUCGGCGCCUUACG